UACGUAGGGUGCGAGCGUUAAUCGGAUUUACUGGGCGUAAAGCGUGCGCAGGCGGCCCGUUAAGACAGAUGUGAAAUCCCUGGGCUCAACCUAGGAAUUGCGCUUGUGACUGGCGGGCUCGAGUACGGUAGAGGGGGGUGGAAUUCCUGGUGUAGCAGUGAAAUGCGUAGAGAUCAGGAGGAACACCGAUGGCGAAGGCGGCUCCCUGGGCCUGUACUGACGCUCAUGCACGAAAGCGUGGGGAGCAAACAGG
RNAcentral lists this ribosomal RNA (253 nucleotides) under uncultured microorganism. Its description in RNAcentral is "partial 16S ribosomal RNA". It matches the Rfam family "Bacterial small subunit ribosomal RNA", at positions 524 to 776 of the family's 1533-position model. The record is from RNAcentral.